RNAcentral lists this unclassified non-coding RNA (158 nucleotides) under fungal sp. RNAcentral describes it as "partial internal transcribed spacer region". The record is from RNAcentral. Lineage: Eukaryota; Fungi.
AAGUCGUAACAAGGUUUCCGUAGGUGAACCUGCGGAAGGUAGGUCCACACGACCGGCGACCGGGGUGGAGGCGAAAGCCCCUACGUCAUCCCUAUGUACCCUCCGGGACUUGGCGAAAGCUGACUCCGUCAUAAAUCGAACAACUGUUAACAAUUCUC